AGGGAUGGAGAGAGGAAAGGCGUAUCACUAGAGACACAGGCUUAUCAUCUAGCAGCACAGCCUCUUUGUCAAACGUGGGGAAGGAGCCGGCCCUGAGCGAGUAAUCAAGAUAAACCGUGUCUCUUUUGUCUCUCCUGCUGCACUUAUCCAACAUGGACCAGAAGACCACGUCGCCACAGAGGCAUAUGGUGAAGAGCAGGUCCAAGUCUACUGAAGAAAUCCAGCAAGCCAAGAAGGCAUUCCAUAUACCGCAGAAGUCUCUACCUGGUGGAUCAGAUUUGGACAAAGUGAAGGAAGGACAAGAAGAAUCUGAAGCUCCAACAUCAGCCUCAGAAGAGCUGAAGUAAUAUACAGGGUCUGGAAGAAUGCAAACAGACACACACACACACACACACACACACACACACACACACACACACACAUUAAAUACACAUUUCAGACACACUUCUCCAUGUCUGUGCUAACUGCAAUCUGCGACUGCUUCACAUAUCUUAAACUGUCUCAUUAAACUACAUGGAAGUCAUUUGGUGCUCAUAUACAGUCGACUCCAAAAUUAUUGGCACCCUUCCUGACAGUGAGUCCAGUGUCCUCAGGCACUGUUACACAUCCAGCAUGAUUUAGAAAUUUGUAACCUAGUUUCUGCCCCUGAUGGUGAAUAAUGGUAUAUUGACCGUUCAUGUAUUUUUCAAUAUCUAUAUGUGCAUUAAAUAUGUGAUGAUAAAUCAGAAAAUCCGUACAUUAUAAAUGCAUGUGUGCAGCAGGAAAUGGUGAGGGGCUUUUUUACUUAUUUUUGUUAUUUUUAUUUAUUUUAGAGAUUUAUUUAUUUUGUUAAAGACCACUUUUCAAAUUGAAUUGUUAUUCUUUCUUUCUUUCUUUCUUUCUUUCUUUCUUUCUUUCUUUCUUUCUUUCUUUCUUUCUUUCUUUCUUUCUUUCAAAUGCUUAUAAUGCUUAAACAAAGCCAAGUAGUUGUUUAUCUGUAUAGAUGGGAAUUUAAUAUCAAUGGGUAAUUUUAUUGGUUGCAGAUAUUAUUAUUAUAAUUUUAUUAUUAUUAUUAUUAUUAUUAUUAUUAUUAUUAUUAUGGGGGGUGAGAGAGAGAGAGAGAGUGUAUGUGUGUGUGGUGCACUGUGAUGAACUGGUGUUCCCAUCUAGAGUGUAUUCUUGAUGCGGUUUCCAGUUUUCCCAGGAUGGGCUUCAGAUCCAUCACAAUCCCAGUGAACGCAAAGCACUUAGGACAGAUAAAUAAAUGAAUGAAUGAAUGACUUUUUGCUCAUUUGAAUAAAUAGUGCCAAUAAUUUUGGAGUUGACGGAUAUGAAACGCUUUGCCAUUAAACCCAUCUGUACCGUAGGCAUGGUC
Tachysurus vachellii is the source of this 1354-nucleotide long non-coding RNA. RefSeq lists it as uncharacterized. The transcript is spliced from 5 exons. Lineage: Eukaryota; Metazoa; Chordata; Actinopteri; Siluriformes; Bagridae. The record is from RefSeq and is a predicted model, not a curated record.